AGCAGCCGCGGUAAUUCCAGCUCCAAUAGCGUAUAUUAAAGUUGUUGCAGUUAAAAAGCUCGUAGUUGAAUUUCGAAAUUUUUUUAUCGGUUGAAUCAACAGGUUCGUACUGAUUUUAAGAAUUUCUACCUUCUGGAGAACCUUAAUGUCAUUUAUUUGAUGUUUUGGGAAACCAGGACUGUUACCUUGAAAAAAUUAGAGUGUUUAAAGCAGGCUUAUGUCUGAAUAUAUUAGCAUGGAAUAAUGAAAUAGGACGGCAUGGUUCUAUUUUGUUGGUUUCUAGGAUCACCGUAAUGAUUAAUAGGGAUAGUUGGGGGCAUUAGUAUUCAAUUGUCAGAGGUGAAAUUCUUGGAUUUAUUGAAGACUAACUUCUGCGAAAGCAUUUGCCAAGAAUGUUUUCAUUAAUCAAGAACGAAAGUUAGAGGUUCGAAGGCGAUCAGAUACCGCCUAGUUCUAACCAUAAACGAUGCCGACCGGCGAUCCGCCGUCGUUAAAUUGAAUGACUCGGCGGGGCAGCCUC
Molecule: ribosomal RNA, 520 nt
Filed under: uncultured Pacispora
Lineage: Eukaryota; Fungi; Glomeromycota; Glomeromycetes; Diversisporales; Pacisporaceae
Description: SSU rRNA
Rfam family: Eukaryotic small subunit ribosomal RNA
Source: RNAcentral